AACGAACGCUGGCGGCAGGCCUAACACAUGCAAGUCGAGCGAGGACUUCGGUCCUAGCGGCGGACGGGUGAGUAACGCGUGGGAACGUGCCCUUUGCUUCGGAAUAGCCCUGGGAAACUGGGAGUAAUACCGGAUGAGCCCUUUGGGGGAAAGAUUUAUCGGCGAAGGAUCGGCCCGCGUUGGAUUAGGUAGUUGGUGGGGUAAUGGCCUACCAAGCCGACGAUCCAUAGCUGGUUUGGGAGGAUGAUCAGCCACACUGGGACUGAGACACGGCCCAGACUCCUACGGGAGGCAGCAGUGGGGAAUCUUAGACAAUGGGGGAAACCCUGAUCUAGCCAUGCCGCGUGAGCGAUGAAGGCCUUAGGGUUGUAAAGCUCUUUCAGCUGGGAAGAUAAUGACGGUACCAGCAGAAGAAGCCCCGGCUAACUCCGUG
RNAcentral lists this ribosomal RNA (433 nucleotides) under uncultured bacterium. RNAcentral's name for it is "partial 16S ribosomal RNA". It matches the Rfam family "Bacterial small subunit ribosomal RNA", at positions 29 to 507 of the family's 1533-position model. The record is from RNAcentral.